Long non-coding RNA from Armigeres subalbatus, 2958 nucleotides. RefSeq lists it as uncharacterized. The transcript has 3 exons. The record is from RefSeq and is a predicted model, not a curated record. NCBI's taxonomy places the organism in Eukaryota, Metazoa, Arthropoda, Insecta, Diptera, Culicidae.
UAUCAUAACGCAGUCGAUAUAGCAACAGCGGCAACACUGCUGCACAAGAGACGAUCAGCCGAGACCUUUCGAGCGGCACUUGGUAUCUACAACGCGGAAGAGAUCGAAUCAAGCUUAUUCAUAAUGUCGAGCAACGGCAAGUACGUACGAGCCCCGAUCGCCUACGAUGAAGAAGAAAACGACGAAAACCUCUACCCACCCGCAUAGAAAAAAACCAUUUCGCUUAUUAUACAGAUUAUAAACUCAUUUUAAUACACACAGUUAAUAUUCACGUUGCUGUUCAUUCACAUUAAGACCAUAAAUGCUUUCUAGUAUUGGAGUAUUAACUACAUCAGUUGCACAACAAUACAUAUGGUUAAAGUUCAGAGAACAGUUGAUUAACGAUUCUGUAUAAUCCGUCUAUCAAUUUUUUUUGACAUUUUCCAUUCCGUGCACCGUAUGUUUUUGUUUGAAAAAAGUUCAGUUCAAAUAAUCCGUGUAGUGUGAAGCAGACCUUACACGAGGCAUAUAUUGACAAUACUUUUUUCGUCAAACUUUUCAUCAAACUUUUUUUCAAUAUUUUCACUGAUUAGCCGGCAUGGCCGUAGCUGAAGAAAAACUCAAUUUUUUCUUGAAAUAAUAUGAAUCAAAUAGCGGUAUAACGCACAAAACACGCACACACUCAACCGUCAUCGACUCCUGUGGGCAAACUGCGGGGGGAGAUGAGGGGAAAUAUUGAAAAGAAUAUCAAACUUUUCUGAUUUCCCUCAAUAUUUACUUCAAUAUUUUGGGUUCGCACUCACACGAUCAAUCUUUUUCUUCAAUAAUCAAGAGUUUGUCAAACUUUUUCCGUCGUGUGGGGUCUGCUUGAGAUUUUAACCUGUCGCAGCAGAGUUUCAACCAAGCCGGCAGUAGAAGUUCCUGCUCUAGUUCCUGUCUCGAUAGCACUUCCUCGCAGCUGCUGAAGACCACCAAACUGCUGGCCAAUUUCGACUGGUGCACGGAUGUGGUAAGCAAACAGCAGGAGGAUGGUGGCGGCGGGAGCAGUGGAAGCGGAAGCAGCACCACCGUGAUCGGGGAAGGCAAUGGGAAUUCCGGCAGUGCCGUUCGGGGUAUCGGUAGUGUGAAGAAUGUGUCGAACAAGGAAUUCGGGCCGGUCACAUUAAGUUACACACCCCCGCAGGGUAGCAACAAAUCCAUUGGGAAUUACAGCAGUGUCGGCAUCGCGACCAUCAACUCCAGCAAACACCAUCACCUGAUUGCAUCUUCUAGUCAAGCCUCUGGGGGCUCCUGGGAAGCAGUGCUAAUGGCGGCAGUUUGAACAUGAACGGUGGCAGCGGUCUCGGUGGCCACACCGUGGUGCUCUCGGAUCUGGACUCGAGCGACGAUAAUCAUCUGAGCUUCAGCAAAAAUGGAACCGAAAUAUUGUGAUUACGAUAAGGAAGAGGAGUUCAACUAUCUGGCCCACGCUGCAGCUGCCGUAGCAGCAUCGACCAGUGCCACCAGCGCCACCAGCUCUUGCACUCCCGGUGGGACAAAUGCGGCUGGUUCCGCUGCAGUUCCGUCGUCUGGUUUAAACGUACCGGCCAAUACUAGCAGCGGUAGCAGCAAUAGCAAUAGCAGCAGCAAAAAUCGCGUUCCGUUCGAUGCCAACAUAAGUGAUUUCCUGCGAGUUCCUCCUAUUAAAGACUUUGAAAUGGAUGGAAGCGGUCUGCUGAAAACCCGAAGGUCCAACAGUUUUACCACGACGGCGAGCAGUGCAUGCGGACUUUCGGUUGGCGAGCUGCAUUAGCAAAAGCAUUACAACGAAUAUUUAUCAGCGGAAAAUCUAACUAACUUGCAGCUUCUGCAGAAUAAACCGAGGAGUUUCUCCUUAAUCAUGGACAGUCCUCGUUCGUCGUUAACAUCCCGCGGGUCGGAAACAAGGCUCGACGAUUUUAAGCAGCAUCAGAUGAUAAAAAUGUACGGAUCUCCAAAUAUUGGCAUGUCGAGCAUAGCUCACUGGUCGAAGAGUUUGCGACUGCACGUAUACGUAUGGUUGUUCUCAAACCUGACGUACGAGCAGAUGAUGGAGAUGACGGAAGAAUAUUUGGCGAAUUUGGGCUUUACGAAGGGGGCUAGACAUAAGCUGAUGCUGUGCAUUCAUAAGCUUAAGGAACGGUACAGUGUGCUACUGCGAAUGAAAUGAUUAAUGUCCCUCGCUGGCACUCGGACGAUGAUCAGCUGCCCCUAGCAUGGGGAACAGAUGCUGUUGUGAGCCGCUUCUAACAUGGAGAACAGACGCUCGUUCAGAUUUGCACCCAAGAGAGGAGUAAACUCCCUUCCACGUUCCCUGUCAUCGUACAACCAUAGUUCCCACCGGGGUUGGUUACCCGAUGCUAGAGAAGGUUGCUCGUACCCCGGCCAGCACCACGGGGAGGUAGGGAUAGGCGUUGCUGGGAAAGAGGCUGAGAACCGUGAGAUGGAGUCUAUUUUAUUCCUUCAGGUACGUGAAGUACCAAAUGGUACAAUGGUUCUAAUUUAUAAUUAAAUUGUCAAUCGAGUUGUCAAUAUACAGGAUUGGAAAUAAUCUGUAUAAAGAUGUCAUAUAUUAUUAAAUUGAAAGAAAUUGAAAAUAAUUAUCUAAAGCAAUAAUUAAACGCAAGGGGUACCGUUGCACAAAUUCUCCUGAUAUGCUCCAAUUAUAACUUCAAAAUAAGACUUAUUGUUCGAAUCUCCUAAAGUGGAUGAUAUCUCAACAUUAUGUUGUAUAAUAUGUGGAAAAUUUUGUUCGAGAAAAUGACCGAUUUUUUAUAGUAACAUAACUUAACCGCCCUUUCCACAUAUUGUAAAUUGGUGAAAUACUAUUUAUCAUACUGUUGAAACAAUCUGGGGUAGUGUAGACGUAUUGUUGCGAUAGAUUAUUCAUACUGUUGUAGAAGUAUUGUUUGAAAUGGUUUUGAAUUAUAUAGGAGACAGUCAUGUAACAGUUCAGAAUUA